AUUGCUUUUCGGACUUUUGGGUAAAAUCAAUGUGUUCCUAUCAGUUUAAUAUCUGUAUACGUUGUCUAUCUGAGAACAACACGUUAAGUGGGUUUUGGGAGCAGAGAGGUGGCAGAGGGAGCCUGCUCCAUCCCUUCCACGCAUCGACCUGCUAUUGUAAUAUUUUUAAGAACGGUGCACCCCCU
This is a small nuclear RNA of Macaca mulatta (Rhesus monkey), 185 nucleotides long. Its record names the gene U2. It matches the Rfam family "U2 spliceosomal RNA". From Rfam's summary of the family: U2 is a small nuclear RNA (snRNA) component of the spliceosome (involved in pre-mRNA splicing). Complementary binding between U2 snRNA (in an area lying towards the 5' end but 3' to hairpin I) and the branchpoint sequence (BPS) of the intron results the bulging out of an unpaired adenosine, on the BPS, which initiates a nucleophilic attack at the intronic 5' splice site, thus starting the first of two transesterification reactions that mediate splicing. The record is from Ensembl. NCBI's taxonomy places the organism in Eukaryota, Metazoa, Chordata, Mammalia, Primates, Cercopithecidae.